RNAcentral lists this ribosomal RNA (495 nucleotides) under Garthius chaseni. Its description in RNAcentral is "partial 16S ribosomal RNA". It matches the Rfam family "Bacterial large subunit ribosomal RNA", at positions 1846 to 2609 of the family's 2925-position model. The record is from RNAcentral. Lineage: Eukaryota; Metazoa; Chordata; Lepidosauria; Squamata; Viperidae.
UUAAAGGCGACGCCUGCCCAGUGAAUAAUUAAACGGCCGCGGUAUCCUAACCGUGCAAAGGUAGCACAAUCAUUUGUCUAUUAAUUGUAGACCUGUAUGAAAGGCAAAAUGAGAGCCCGACUGUCUCUUAUAACAAAUCAAUUAAACUGAUCUCCUAGUACAAAAGCUAGAAUACUAACAUAAGACCAGAAGACCCUGUGAAGCUUUAACAAACCUAUUAAACCUAAUAAUAAUUACUUUCGGUUGGGGCGACCUCGGAAUUAAAAAGAACUUCCAACACAUGACUACAUCAUAAACAAGGCUAACAAGCCGAUAUUUGACCCAGCACCGCUGAUAAUUGAAAUAAGUUACUCCAGGGAUAACAGCGCUAUCUUCUUCAAGAGCCCAUAUCAAAAAGAAGGUUUACGACCUCGAUGUUGGAUCAGGACAUCCCAGUAAUGCAGUCGUUACUAAAGGUUCGUUUGUUCAACGAUUAACAGUCCUACGUGAUCUGAG